Molecule: long non-coding RNA, 1322 nt
Organism: Alosa sapidissima (American shad)
Lineage: Eukaryota; Metazoa; Chordata; Actinopteri; Clupeiformes; Clupeidae
Exons: 2
Source: RefSeq, a predicted model, not a curated record
UGUGUGUGUAUGGUUUUAUAUGUAUACAUUGAUGUUUAUGCCAAUACCCUCACUUAGAGACAAUAAUUCAAUCAUGAGGUGGUGGGGUUCUGUAUAGGCUGUGUGUUUGGACUUUAGAUGGGAUUCUUGACGAGUCUCUUUAUGGUGGCUUGGAGGAGAGACUCGGAUCUGAUUGACUGAUGGCAAUUGACUUUUAAUGAACUAAUUGAUGCCAGAGGAAACACGGGAUGGGGAUAGGGUGUUCCUCUUUAUGAAAAGGGCGGCCGACAGAUGGACGGAAGAGGUGGGGGAAGACACGAGAGUUCCAUAGGAGGGAGAGGUCACGAUACGGAAGGAGCCGGGGGCAGCAGUGGAGUGACCAACGCCGGAAAGUGACCGAUACAACGCAAGCUGUGUUUGAUUAAGGAACGUCUGAACUGUCUAUCCCGCUGCAUGUUGAUACUAUAGCCGCUCCUGGAGUAGCAGAUUGUGCCCUGAUUUUCGUGUGUUGACAGGAGGCGCAACGCGACUGGGACACCGGCAUCUGACCAGGAUCACAACCAGGAAGUGGAGUAUGAAGACUUACGAUGGAUGAUCUGUCUUGCUACGCUCUCAAUUCGUCUUGAGAAGGGAAGUUAUGGUUCCAAUCUGUUAAUCCCCUGCCGUGCCACCGUCUAAAUGAUUUGCUGUAGCUAUGCACUGAGUUGUUCUGUUGUGAUUUCCCCUGUAGCUGGAGGCGGAGCUUCGAGACACUACGCUGCUGCAAUUGCAAAGGCACGUUUGUGGUGCUCUGGACUGCGCGACUCUGCCUACGCAAGAACGUGACGUCACUGAUCUGCAUCCCAUGGACUUCGGACACUAAUAGGCCAUUUGAGAGUGGGUAGGUGCCAUCUUCUUGUGCUUUGUGUCUGGACUUUUUAUUUACUGGUCGGAAGUGGUCGCCGACCAGUACGGACUCAUUUUAUUUUGUGCAGGACUGUUAUAUGAGUUGGGCUGGGGACAUCAGGAGUGGUCUGUUGCCACCUGCUGACCUUUGGUUAAUUGCCUUCCCUGCCCCCCUCUGGUGUGGAAUGAUAUCACUGUGAUGUUGUUGGCUUGAUGAAUUGAUGUGGAUAUUAUGUGAUUUAACCUGUGAUGUGCCAAUGAAUGCUGUGUCUAGUCACCUAACCUUGCUGUGGGUCUGCAUGAAUUUAUAUUUAUACCUGGGGUGGGUUUUGGUUCUCUAGCCUAUGUUGUUAGUUGGGGGAGUGACUGCCCUGGUGGUGGCCUGUUAUAUCUGCCUACUUUCCAACAGUCCUGUUAUCUAUUUUGUGCUUGUUUAAAUAAACUUUUGUGGUAAAUUA